This 468-nucleotide ribosomal RNA is filed under the name uncultured bacterium. RNAcentral describes it as "partial 16S ribosomal RNA". It matches the Rfam family "Bacterial small subunit ribosomal RNA", at positions 28 to 507 of the family's 1533-position model. The record is from RNAcentral.
GACGAACGCUGGCGGCGUGCUUAACACAUGCAAGUCGAACGGAAAGGCCCUGCUUUUGUGGGGUGCUCGAGUGGCGAACGGGUGAGUAACACGUGAGUAACCUGCCCUUGACUUUGGGAUAACUUCAGGAAACUGGGGCUAAUACCGGAUAGGAGCUCCUGCUGCAUGGUGGGGGUUGGAAAGUUUCGGCGGUUGGGGAUGGACUCGCGGCUUAUCAGCUUGUUGGUGGGGUAGUGGCUUACCAAGGCUUUGACGGGUAGCCGGCCUGAGAGGGUGACCGGCCACAUUGGGACUGAGAUACGGACCAGACUCCUACGGGAGGCAGCAGUGGGGAACAUUGCACAAUGGGCGGAAGCCUGAUGCAGCAACGCCGCGUGCGGGAUGACGGCCUUCGGGUUGUAAACCGCUUUCGACUGUGACGAAGCGUGAGUGACGGUAAUGGGUAAAGAAGCACCGGCUAACUACGUG